RNAcentral lists this ribosomal RNA (994 nucleotides) under uncultured bacterium. RNAcentral describes it as "bacterial SSU rRNA". It matches the Rfam family "Bacterial small subunit ribosomal RNA", at positions 356 to 1376 of the family's 1533-position model. The record is from RNAcentral.
GGGGAAUAUUGCACAAUGGGGGAAACCCUGAUGCACCGAUGCCUCGUGGAGGAAGAAGGUUUUCUGAUUGUAAACUCCUGUCGAAGAGGACGAUAAUGACGGUACUCUUCAAGAAAGCUCCGGCUAACUACGUGCCAGCAGCCGCGGUAAUACGUAGGGAGCGAGCGUUGUCCGGAAUUACUGGGUGUAAAGGGAGCGUAGGCGGGAUGGCAAGUCAGAUGUGAAAACUAUGGGCUCAACCCAUAGACUGCAUUUGAAACUGUUGUUCUUGAGUGAGGUAGAGGUAAGCGGAAUUCCUGGUGUAGCGGUGAAAUGCGUAGAGAUCAGGAGGAACAUCGGUGGCUAAGGCGGCUUACUGGGCCUUUACUGACGCUGAGGCUCGAAAGCGUGGGGAGCAAACAGGAUUAGAUACCCUAGUAGUCCACGCCGUAAACGAUGAGUACUAAGUGUUGGGGGUCAAACCUCAGUGCUGCAGUUAACGCAAUAAGUACUCCGCCUGAGUAGUACGUUCGCAAGAAUGAAACUCAAAGGAAUUGACGGGGGCCCGCACAAGCGGUGGAGCAUGUGGUUUAAUUCGAAGCAACGCGAAGAACCUUACCAGGUCUUGACAUCCGAUGCAUAACACAGAGAUGUGUGAAAUCCUUCGGGACAUCGAGACAGGUGGUGCAUGGUUGUCGUCAGCUCGUGUCGUGAGAUGUUGGGUUAAGUCCCGCAACGAGCGCAACCCUUAUUGCCAGUUAAUACGUUAAGAGGACUCUGGCGAGACUGCCGUUGACAAAACGGAGGAAGGUGGGGAUGACGUCAAAUCAUCAUGCCCUUUAUGACCUGGGCUACACACGUACUACAAUGGCGUUAAACAAAGAGAAGCAAGACCGCGAGGUGGAGCAAAACUCAAAAACAACGUCUCAGUUCAGAUUGCAGGCUGCAACUCGCCUGCAUGAAGUCGGAAUUGCUAGUAAUCGCGGAUCAGCAUGCCGCGGUGAAUACGUUCCCG